Molecule: long non-coding RNA, 1755 nt
Organism: Beta vulgaris subsp. vulgaris (sugar beet)
Lineage: Eukaryota; Viridiplantae; Streptophyta; Magnoliopsida; Caryophyllales; Amaranthaceae
Exons: 4
Source: RefSeq, a predicted model, not a curated record
AAUUACCUAAUUUUUGUGCCACGAGUUAAGCAAUCGGCGAGGAAGAGAACGCUUAGGUAUUCCACAGGAAGUUCUAACCUUGUGAAUUUAGAUUUAGAGAUGGGAAGGUCGCAUGAGGACGUUGUGACCACUAUCGACGAUGAUGAAUUGGAGAGAAUUAGGUCUUGGGCUGGGUUUUCCCCUUCCGUUAAAUUGAUUGCUCCUUCGAAGAGUGAGAGUCCUAAACUUUUUCCUUUAUAUCGAGUUGUGUUUUUCGAAUACCUUUUUCGUUUGGGCUACAAGUUCCCUUUUAGCGAGUUGAUUCAAUCGGCCCUCAAGGUUUUCAACCUUAGCCCUGGCCAAAUGUUGCAUUGUUUUUGUAGAAUAUGCUCAGUGAUCGAGGAGAACACCCAAAAUUGGGAUGCCCCUUUUUCCCUAGAUUAGUUGAUUGCCUGUUACUCUUUUUAGAGAUCCACGAUUGGCCGUUUCACCUUAAAGGUGAGGCAAAACCAGCGUAAGUUGGUGGAGGAAGAUGGUGUGAAUGACAGGGGGUGGAAGACCAUAUACUUCUUUCUGAAGAAAUCCUAUUUGGGUGUCGAUAUGAUGUGGCUCAGAGAGGGCUGGAACAAUGCAUAUCGCCAAUUCGAACCAGCGUUCCAACCGAGUCAAGAACUGAUUGAUAAGUUCUUGGCUCUCACGUUUGAGAAGAGGUUCUUUGACAAAGUUGUUCCAGCUACAACGCCUGUAAUGGCUUUCUGCUUCCAGCCGUCAAAUGUCCGAUGCCGAGCAGAUUGGCAGAGCAACUGCCAGGAAGAGAAUCGGAACCACCGCAGCUGAAUCCUCAGAAACUUUGUCACAACAAGCCGACGAACAAAUGAGGCCCCUAAGACCGCAAUAACCUCCUUUAGUGAUAAACGUGGAAGAUUUAUCUCUCUCAUUUUUUCCUAACUUCCUGGUUUCGGAAGGUGUUGAGUCGGGCGUGUUCCCCGAAGCUGAAAAUUUGCUAUCCCGACAGUGAGUAAUCGGCUUCAAACUUUGGACCCUAAAGAUGUGCUAUCUCAGUGCGUCGCCUUCCAACACUUCAGGGGCUGCAGAAUGCUCUUGCUUCUAGGGACUUCGUUGGGAAGAUGGCUUGUGAGAAGAGGGUUGCAUCCAAAAGGGCUGAAGAUUUGAAAAAGGAGAACUCGGAGCUACGCCGCCAACUUGAUGGAGCGAAGGAGGCUCAACAAAAACCACUUGAGGAUCAAGAGAGUAAGUUGAAGAAAGAGCGAGCCGUUGCUGUCGCUGAAGCUAACCAAGAGGUUGAACGGCCAAAGAAGCGGGUAGCGGACGUGGAGAAGGAAGUUCUUAACACCGUGGCUCUCAGCCUAGUCAAGAUCCAACCGUGCAUACCUGCUGGUUUAUACUGACAGCAUCUCAAAAGAGGAGGAAAAAGACAUUGUUGAUGUUGAUUACUAUUUGGCUAGCAUUAGCGGUAUCCAAGACCUGCUUCCCUCCAACCCUCAAGAUGCUCCAGCUACUGAAGCCGUAGGUCAGAACGUGGUCCACGCCCACAAUGAUCAAGAUGAAGCUGCCGCGCAGUAGCUGGACCGUCUGCUUUAGUCUCUGCUUGAUUUAGAAUAAUUUUGUUGUGGAACUUGGUUUUGUGUGUUUUAUCGUUAGCCAAGGGGCUAAUCGGGUUUUUCGUUGUGCUGUAAUUUUUAUCUGCACUUUGAACUUUUCAUUUUAGCAUGCGAACUUUUGUUUUAAUGCAUUUACUGAAGUAGACUUUUGCCU